UCCUACGGGAGGCAGCAGUAGGGAAUCUUCCGCAAUGGACGAAAGUCUGACGGAGCAACGCCGCGUGAGUGAUGAAGGCUUUCGGGUCGUAAAACUCUGUUGUUAGGGAAGAACAAGUGCUAGUUGAAUAAGCUGGCACCUUGACGGUACCUAACCAGAAAGCCACGGCUAACUACGUGCCAGCAGCCGCGGUAAUACGUAGGUGGCAAGCGUUAUCCGGAAUUAUUGGGCGUAAAGCGCGCGCAGGUGGUUCCUUAAGUCUGAUGUGAAAGCCCACGGCUCAACCGUGGAGGGUCAUUGGAAACUGGGAGACUUGAGUGCAGAAGAGGAAAGUGGAAUUCCAUGUGUAGCGGUGAAAUGCGUAGAGAUAUGGAGGAACACCAGUGGCGAAGGCGACUUUCUGGUCUGUAACUGACACUGAGGCGCGAAAGCGUGGGGAGCAAAUAGGAUUAGAUACCCUGGUAGUCCACGCCGUAAACGAUGAGUGCUAAGUGUUAGAGGGUUUCCGCCCUUUAGUGCUGAAGUUAACGCAUUAAGCACUCCGCCUGGGGAGUACGGCCGCAAGGCUGAAACUCAAAGGAA
Molecule: ribosomal RNA, 582 nt
Filed under: uncultured bacterium
Lineage: Bacteria
Description: bacterial SSU rRNA
Rfam family: Bacterial small subunit ribosomal RNA
Source: RNAcentral